CCUACGGGAGGCAGCAGUAGGGAAUAUUGGGCAAUGGAGGCAACUCUGACCCAGCCAUGCCGCGUGAACGAAGAAGGCGCUAUGCGUCGUAAAGUUCUUUUAGAGGGGGCGAAAACACUUGAUUCAUCAAGUACUGACGGUACCUUCGGAAUAAGCACCGGCUAACUCUGUGCCAGCAGCCGCGGUAAUACAGAGGGUGCAAGCGUUAUCCGGAAUCACUGGGUUUAAAGGGUGCGUAGGCGGGAUUAUAAGUCAGAGGUGAAAUCUCGUCGCUUAACGACGGAAUUGCCUUUGAUACUGUUUUUCUUGAAAUUUGUUGAGGUUGGCGGAAUGAGACAUGUAGCGGUGAAAUGCUUAGAUAUGUCUUAGAACACCGAUUGCGAAGGCAGCUGACUGGACAAUAUUUGACGCUGAGGCACGAAAGCGUGGGGAUCAAACAGGAUUAGAUACCCUGGUAGUCCACGCCCUAAACGAUGUUUACUUGCUGUUUGUCUUUCGGGAUGAGUGGCGAAGCGAAAGCGAUAAGUAAACCACCUGGGGAGUACGCCCGCAAGGGUGAAACUCAAAUGAAUUGACGGCUGAGAGNGCGAGACGACGACGAGGGAGAGG
RNAcentral lists this ribosomal RNA (609 nucleotides) under uncultured bacterium. RNAcentral describes it as "bacterial SSU rRNA". It matches the Rfam family "Bacterial small subunit ribosomal RNA", at positions 338 to 947 of the family's 1533-position model. The record is from RNAcentral.